This 310-nucleotide ribosomal RNA is filed under the name uncultured bacterium. RNAcentral's name for it is "bacterial SSU rRNA". It matches the Rfam family "Bacterial small subunit ribosomal RNA", at positions 29 to 334 of the family's 1533-position model. The record is from RNAcentral.
AGUGAACGCUGGCGGCGUGCUUAACACAUGCAAGUCGAACGAGAAACGGUCUAGCUUGCUAGAUGCAGUCUAAGUGGCGCACGGGUGAGUAAUGUAUAGGUAAUGUGCCUUUUAGUGGGGGAUAACAGUUGGAAACGACUGCUAAUACCCUAUAUUCCUUAUUAACAAAAGUGUGUAAGGGAAAGAUUUAUUGCUAAAAGAUCGGCCUAUAUUGUAUCAGCUUGUUGGUGAGGUAAUGGCUCACCAAGGCAAUGACGCAUAACUGGUUUGAGAGGAUGAUCAGUCACACUGGAACUGAGACACGGUCCAG